RNAcentral lists this non-coding RNA (96 nucleotides) under Stanieria cyanosphaera. RNAcentral describes it as "TPP sequence". It matches the Rfam family "TPP riboswitch aptamer (THI element)". From Rfam's summary of the family: Vitamin B(1) in its active form thiamin pyrophosphate (TPP) is an essential coenzyme that is synthesised by coupling of pyrimidine and thiazole moieties in bacteria. The previously detected thiamin-regulatory element, thi box was extended, resulting in a new, highly conserved RNA secondary structure, the THI element, which is widely distributed in eubacteria and also occurs in some archaea. Analysis of operon structures identified a large number of new candidate thiamin-regulated genes, mostly transporters, in various prokaryotic organisms. RNAcentral also lists the same sequence under 1 other name. Lineage: Bacteria; Bacillati; Cyanobacteriota; Cyanophyceae; Pleurocapsales; Dermocarpellaceae. The record is from RNAcentral.
AACCAUAGCUAGGGGUGUCUGAAGUGCCAGGCUGAGAUAGUCCCUUAGAACCUGAUACUGGGUAAUACCAGCGGAGGGAAGCUGUUUAUUGAGGAA